This is a long non-coding RNA of Sardina pilchardus (European sardine), 1323 nucleotides long. RefSeq lists it as uncharacterized. The record is from RefSeq and is a predicted model, not a curated record. NCBI's taxonomy places the organism in Eukaryota, Metazoa, Chordata, Actinopteri, Clupeiformes, Clupeidae. The transcript is spliced from 4 exons.
CUUCAUGUUCUUAAUUUCAUAGCCCUUAUUUAUCCCUUGUUUGAUAUACCUAAUCUGCGCCGAACUAUGUGUUUAUUUAAAAUGCAUAUGAGUGUAGUAGUGCUUCAGUGAUGAUCUUUUUAUCUUCUGUGUGUUUUGCAACUUAUUAAUCUUAGUCUCCCUCUGUUCCCUCUGUUUACAGACAUUGCAUUGUGAGGACUGGUGCCCUGGGAACACUGAGCGCAUUCUCGAAAAUUCCAAAUUUGUGCCACUUCCAUACGAAGACAGCCCAGAAUAAUUGGGCUCCAUCAACCAUCCCGGGUAAAGUCGGUCUGUCCUGAUUGCACUACUUGUUAAUUGAUGACGUCUAGAAGCCAUAGCUGCUUCCCUCAACGUGGCGUAAGUGUUAAUGUGUUUUGAAUGUAUUUAUUGGUACCAUUGUGAGUGCUCUACUGUGAAUGAAUGCAGCUACUUAAAAUACUAUACUCUUGAAAUAUCCAUGUUUACCAUUGUGUUGGUGGUAAUGUAAAGUGUUGUGAAUAUCUGCCAAACUGAUCACAUUCAUUAUUUCAAGUGUAUUGUAUAGAAUGCAUACUUAUGUUAAAUCCUAUCUUUUAUUGACGGAGCCCUCACAAAUAAACUGAUACCAGGAAUUAACAUACAGUAGAUGGUGAUGGUGGUGGUGGCAAGGGUGCCUUCACAAGUGUGGAGCCAAAGGCUGCUAUUGCAAGUCAGAUGGGGGACGAUCGAUGUAAGGCAUCAGAAAGGUGGUGUACGUACAAAGGCUGGAGCUGCUGGAGACAGUGUUGCACUUAGAUACUUGAUUUACUGCCGAAGGUACCAUCAGAGCACCACCCUACCCCUGCAGGACCAGAAGAGGACGGACAGGGGGCCAACAUUUUUUAACACUCUGACCAUGGACUAUUUAAACCAUUGAGGUAACGCAGACGUCUGAUCCCACUUGGCUAAAACAGAAGACUGAGGAGGAGUUUCUUUCCUCAUGCCAUUCGCAUCCUGAGCACACAUGCUACAUUACAUGGACUUGCCAUACUGCACUUACACACUGCACUAUUUACCCCCUGACUCAUUCCGUGUCAAAUCAGACAAGGUUAUGCUGCACUGUCUCAGGCCUGUACAAUAUUUUUUUGUUCAAUCCUAUGUCUUCAUAUUAUAAUGUUUGUAUGGCCUGCUCAAUGAUUUUCAUUGAAAAGUGUUCAUUAAAAGUUCAAAUGGUAUUUUCUUUGUUGUUGCUUUUAUUGACCAGAUCCAAAACAUGUUGGUAUAGGUCAGGUAAAUCACAAAUCAAAUGUUCAAAUGUACAAUAUCUUUCACUGUAAAUUCACA